GCCGCCGUCGCCUGCCAUCCUCCCCGUCCGCCGCCGCCGCCCCCAUCCUUCCCGUCCGCCGCGCCGCCACCAUCCUCCGCGUCCGCCACCGCCAUCCUCCCCGUCCGCCACCGCCGCCCCCAUCCUCCCUGUCCGCCGCCGCCAUGCCAUCGCCGCCACCUACCGGACGGCGCUGUGAAGGAAGCGACCAGAGAGGGAGGCGUCGCCGGUGUCGUGGACCCAUGCCGGCGCAACGACGUGUGCGCGUGCCUCCGCGGGUUCGCGCAGCGGUCGCCGGAGGCGUCGCGGGUCAACUGCGUCGGGGAGGAUGGGCGCGCGCCACGCCGCUAUUCCCCGACACAACGUCCGCCGUUCUUCCUUGGUCGGGCAGUGGUCAAGUGCUUCUUCAAGCUGGGCCGCACGCUGGGAGAGGAGCCCCAGGCCGCAUGCUUCUUCUUGCGCUCCAUCGGGAGAGACCUCGAGGAUGCCAAGAUCUGCAAUGGCCUGAAGAACGAGGCAAUUCUUGGAAGCAACACGUACAUGUGGUCUCUCUUUCACUAUGAUUCCAAGGUUGUUUCUCUCCAUAUUCCAUUCCUCUCACAAAAUUUUCUUUUCCUAGGCUUUUACUUUAUUAUGUGUGUGCUAUGCUACUGACAAAAUAUCUAAUUCUGGUGCUUAAUUAUCAUGUCUAAGCAUCAUGUUCUCCUCUGUUUAAUCUCAUUAUUGCUGUGUAAAGGGAAAUCAAGGAUUACUUUUCUGGGCACAUAUGCAGUGUAUUUUUGUUUUGAGUAGUAACAGUUCAGUUAGAGCUGAAAUAAAUAAUCAAAGUACAGUACAAUCGUUUAUCGUCUGUGAAUCUUCUUCUUUCCCCGUUUAUCGUCCCGCCGACGUGCUCUUGAGGCAGCUGAUCCUAACUUAGGCUGCCGCCACUUGGUGCUCAGAAUCACAACGUCUCCGUGGAGCCGCAGUGGAUAGCAUGGUCUUGUCGCCAUGCUGGGGACGCAGCGGCAGCAUAUAUCCAGUCCAGAUCCGCUGGUUUCAGAUCAACGGAUUACCCCAGUUCAUCUUCCUACUCGCUUCUUUUCUCCUAACACACACAUCCCUGCAAAUUAGACUGUUUUUUUUACAUCUCUUCAUUCCAGUGGUGCAAUUUGCCAUUUAGUACUGAUUAGUUUACACUGAUUUAUGUCAGAUCUAACCAGAUUGAAUCAUUAACCGAUGGAGGAUUUGGAUGCCCCACACACUGGUGGUGAUAUGAUAAGUGAUAAUGACUCUCCAGAAGUUUAAAUUAUUUGAUACAUGGGAUUGGUCCAGAUGAUAUUGACUGUUCCGAUAUAACACCAGAACUUUAGCUUUCUCGGGAAUGUGACGAUGGCUUCCAUGAAAAAAUUCAUCGAAGUGACUGUCGAUGACCUACAGGAGCGUAGCAGACUCGAUGUGGCAACCGGGUUGCUCCUGAAUGCGGUGAAGUAGUGCCACCUGGCCGGUGAAGUGGCCGACAGCAGGAAUUCCGCCGUCGACAUCGUCGAGAUUCGCUUCAAGGGCCUGGAAGAUGCUCAACAACCAGAUCGUCAUCUCGUCCUCUCCAAGAGAAGGGGCCAACUCAAGCAGGUACAUCUGCUCGCUACAGCUCGCUCCUCCUCCCUUCUUCUCUAUUCCAUGGUUGAUUGUGUCAAACUUGAGCUGGUAGCUACUAUUCAGAUAUGUAAGUUAGAUUUCAUGUCCUGCCUCUCGGGUAUGUGCUUAUUGUGGUUGCAGUCCUGUCGACUGAAAUGUUGUUCUUGGAUGCUAAAUUAAUUUGGUUAUCCUAUCAGCUCCAAGUUUCCAGUUUAUAAUUAUAUAUGAGACAUAGCUGCUUUGUUGUUGGUUGUUCUGGUCGAUUCUUUUGUUUUCUGAUACUCUGCUUGUUGCGAUUUGAAUGCUACCUAUAUUGAUAUACUGGUAAUUGUUUGGUUGCCUCGGUUGUGAUUCUAAGAUUUCUUAUUUACUUUGAUUAUGAUGUUUGUUGUGGUUUAUUCUGCUACAUCUUUCUAUUUCAGGACUUUGUGUUGUUGGUUGGUCUGUGUUGUUGUUUUUUAUCGUCUUCAGGCGAGCCAUGCUCUUUCCCCUGUAUUUUGGUAUCUAUAUACCUGCGUCCUUCUAAUCUUUUUCAAACUGCCAUUUCCCCCCUUCUAGGUCUGUUGGGGUAUUUUUCUUUUAUUCCUUAAUUUGUCACAUGCAUCUUUUGCUUGCGUUAGUCGUUUGUGCCUCUUUUCGAGGCUCUUACUGCCAACUGCCUUUUCGUUCAUAUGUUCGUGAGUGACACGAUGGAUCUAUGCUUGGAGGGGUGGACCAAUGUAUAUGUCGCGCAAGAGACCAACUGAUCCCAAACAUUGUUUUUCUUUACUGUUCACUAUGGCAGAUAUCGGGCAGGCAUCGUCUUCCUGUUUUGCCUGAGGUGUGCCUCAGCUGGGGCAUUUUGAAAUGUGCUAUUACUGUCGUGGUCUUUUCUUUUGCAACAUGGUAAUAUUUUUGUCAAUUUGGAGUUGUUUGGUCUGACUAUAUAUAUAUAUGUCUUUGGUAAUAUCAUGGAUUGGAACGAAAUGGCCUGCUCUGUUUAUAUGCCAGGAGGGCCUGUGUUCUACCCUACUCUUAUCAUGUUAGCUGAUUGUCCUGUCCCUCUGUUGGUAUGCUCAUGGACAAUUGUAUGUUAUCAUGUUAGCUGAUUGUCCUGCGUUGUAUUAGUAUAUACUCGAAUACAUGAUUUUUUUUCUCUUUGGCUACUGAAUUUUAUUGCUAUUCUUCUGCACACAUGUACAUGCGGCUCCGGUUCUAUUAUACUGUACAUCAGGUUCAGUAUUCACAAUUAUUUUCAUGAGUCCAAGGAUAGUUCUGUUUGGUGCCGUGUCCUGUAUGAUUAAUGGUCAUGAUUUAAUUACAAGUGAAAACAUUUGUAUCCGUUGAAACGCAAUGGUUUUCCCCCUGCAUUGUGAUAAUUAAUUUACAUUUGCAUUAUAGUAGGCUCCAAAUCCUAUUAAGUGUGAUACGAAUGGGAAUGGAAUAUUUAUGAAUAAGAAAGCUUUCUUACUCCUGUUGGAUUUUAUGUCGCAGCAAUAUCCCUGUUUUUGUUUCCCUGCAAGACUCGAGCUAUAUGUAAUAGUGCUAUAACUUUCAGCAUCUCCUAAAGUACAUCCUAAGUUGUACUCAAUCACCACUACUAUUUUAAUUUCCAUUGCAGCUUUCUGAAAUAAGUUUAUCCGUCUUGCUGAAUGUUAAAAAAACAGAAGGUAUCUUAAGUACAACCAUAGACUGCCUGCACAGUCCUUCCAAAGGAAAAAAAAAUCUGACUCGCUGUUUUGAUUGAGCAGCAUUGCUUUUCAGAUAAUAUAGGAGAGUGGAAGGUUCAUGCUCAUUUUUCUUUUUUGUAUUUUUUCUUGUUCAUACUUAUACUAUUUAUUCUUGCAAAUAUGUACUAUUGAAAUAGAAAGAUCAUCUUGUGUUGUUCAGACCCAUACACUUAUCCUGCAAUAUGUGAAGGAAUGCUUAUAUUGGCAUCUUGCUGUAGAAAAUGGUUAGCUUAGCAGCAACUAUUGUGUCUUCUAAUUAUGUCGCCUCAAAUUUGUAGAAACGCUAUUGUUGCUUUCGAAAUGCUAUUGAAUCUUAUCAAAUUUUUUGGACCUGUUAUUCAUUCAACAUUGUCAGUUAGCUCACUCGUUGGAGUAGAACUUCAAGCCGAACAGAGGUAUGCUCUCCAACUUUACUCGGGGAAGGGAACUGGGUGUUGCUAAGAGAGAUGUUUUAAAAACUUGUGUUGCUACAAGCCACUAAGGAACUCGGUCUGAGGUGGCGAGUUGGUCGCGAACUUAUGUUUUGCUUAUACUGGUCCUGUCCCUGAUAAGGGUGUGUGUAUCGAGUGUUUGCCAAUUUAGUUCUGGCAUGUUGAGUCCAUGGACAAGUAUGGAUUAUUCUCUAUAGCUUUAGCCAAUUUAGGAGACAACCGCUGUUUUCCUGCACAUUUGCAUAUACUCAACGACUCCGAUCUUACAAAAUGUUAGGUCUCCUUAGUUCCAAAUAUGGUUUUACAGGUUCUAAAAUUAUUUCUUUGAUGCGAGGUGCCAUGCUGUGGAUAACAAGGAGAUUAUCAAGGCGGAGCGGCGGUGAGUAUGGAGCUCAUAAUCAUCAGUUCAUCACCAUGAAGCAGAAGGAAUGGUAUAGCUUUGCCAUGCUGGACUUUGGCAGCCGCUGCUCCUCGGCAAUCAACAGGAGGUACAGCCGCUGCCACCACUCCUUCGCAGCGACGCAGGCCAGCGACGAGGAGGCUCGCAAUGGUGGGGGACACAUCACCAUCUUCCAGAGAGGAGAAAGGCAUACCUACCCCUUAACGAUUGAAAUGCAGGUCCAGGGAAAACAUCUGUACUACUAUUGGGCCAAUUGAUGCUAGGUGUACAUUGAGAUGUUUUAGAAAAAUAGAUCCUUGAUGCCGGACAUAGUGCAAUGGUGAGAUCCACUUAUUUAUGAUGGCGAGGAUGAUUGUUAGGCUGGCAUGUGGAGCUGUACUAAUAAGCUAUGAGAAGGUCCUCACAUCACAACACCCGGGCAAGUCUGGCAAGGCUUGCUCGCCAUGGCCUACCACAUCGGCGAGACGGAUCGAGCACGUGAUCACCAUCAGCAGGUCUUUCGUCACAACACCCGAGCUAGCGAGAUGUUCAGACAAAGUUAUAUGAUACACUGCUAUUGACAUAUGUCGUAGAUGGACAGUACAUAUCGUUUCUCUCCAUGUUACAAUUUCUGUGACCUCGGCAUUUGGAAGACAUGUCAUCCGAAUCGUCUAUCAUGACCGAACCAUUACUAUCACAAGCAUCUUACUUUUAGAAAUCCAUAUGAUGGUUCAGUUAUCUAUAUUAUGUGUGCCAUUUGUUACCUCUGAAAUAUAUAUUAUGUGUGCCCUGUCA
Long non-coding RNA from Triticum aestivum (bread wheat), 4910 nucleotides. RefSeq lists it as uncharacterized. The transcript has 8 exons. The record is from RefSeq and is a predicted model, not a curated record. Lineage: Eukaryota; Viridiplantae; Streptophyta; Magnoliopsida; Poales; Poaceae.